RNAcentral lists this ribosomal RNA (704 nucleotides) under Tsukamurella sp. Its description in RNAcentral is "bacterial SSU rRNA". It matches the Rfam family "Bacterial small subunit ribosomal RNA", at positions 93 to 811 of the family's 1533-position model. The record is from RNAcentral. Lineage: Bacteria; Bacillati; Actinomycetota; Actinomycetes; Mycobacteriales; Tsukamurellaceae.
GAGUGGCGAACGGGUGAGUAACACGUGGGUGACCUGCCCUGUACUUCGGGAUAAGCCUGGGAAACUGGGUCUAAUACCGGAUAUGACCUUCUCCUGCAUGGGGGUUGGUGGAAAGUUUUUGCGGUACAGGAUGGGCCCGCGGCCUAUCAGCUUGUUGGUGGGGUAAUGGCCUACCAAGGCGACGACGGGUAGCCGGCCUGAGAGGGCGACCGGCCACACUGGGACUGAGACACGGCCCAGACUCCUACGGGAGGCAGCAGUGGGGAAUAUUGCACAAUGGGCGAAAGCCUGAUGCAGCGACGCCGCGUGAGGGAUGACGGCCUUCGGGUUGUAAACCUCUUUCAGUAGGGACGAAGCGCAAGUGACGGUACCUACAGAAGAAGCACCGGCCAACUACGUGCCAGCAGCCGCGGUAAUACGUAGGGUGCGAGCGUUGUCCGGAUUUACUGGGCGUAAAGAGCUCGUAGGCGGUUUGUCACGUCGUCUGUGAAAACCCGAGGCUUAACCUCGGGCCUGCAGGCGAUACGGGCAGACUUGAGUACUGUAGGGGAGACUGGAAUUCCUGGUGUAGCGGUGGAAUGCGCAGAUAUCAGGAGGAACACCGGUGGCGAAGGCGGGUCUCUGGGCAGUAACUGACGCUGAGGAGCGAAAGCGUGGGUAGCGAACAGGAUUAGAUACCCUGGUAGUCCACGCCGUAAACGGUG